CGUCCCCCGCUUUUAUUGUCCCGUACCGCGACGGGUAAUGGGGAUCUUGUAUCCGCUAGGGUUUGGGUAUCUGCGGAUAUUUGUGGAUUUUUUUUAAACAAAAAAAAUGAAAAUAAUUAAACAAAAUUAGAGAUAACAAAUACUCCAAUGAUAACAGCAAAUCCACAAAUGAAUAAGGCAAAUCUAUAGCAACUUUGAUAACGGAAUUAAAAUACACAAAACAUAGAUAGUAAUAACAGCAAAUCUACAGAUACAGUGAUAACAGCAAAUCACAUAUGAAGAACGACGUAGACGGCGACCCUCAAUGCUGCCACGAAAACGGCGACGACGACCCUCCUUACUGUGACGAAGACGACGUUGAGAGAACCCUUCCUACUGUGACGAAGAUGGCGAUGGCAAUCCUCACUGCUUCAACAAAGAUGACGACUGCGACACUCACGGACGCGUGAAGAGUGAAGAUGCCAACAAUGGAUGAUGAACGACGAAGAAGGUGAUGCGAUUUCAGUGAGAAAAAGGAGUGCGGGUGCGCGACGGUGAGGGUUUAGGGUGCCAGUGGGCGGCAGACGGCGAAACGGCAUUGGGAAAAAGGUGGAUUGGAGAGGACAAGAAGUUGAGGUUUCGUGAAUGAUUUCAUCAAAAUUUGGACGAAGAGAGGGAGUGUGAAUGAUGGCUUAGGGUUCACAGGAGGGUUUGAAACUAUAUGUAUAUGAAGGGCAUUUUGAUCAUUUUUUAUAACGGAAUUAUACGGAAGACCUCUGUUUCCGUUUCCGUCCCGUUUAUUAUACAGGUCUGUCCCUGUAAACCCCGAUUAAAUUAGUAAAUAAUUAGUCAAUAAAUUAGUUUUUAAUAAGGAGGAUUAAAAAUGUGAAUAUUAUAUCAAAUUAGGAUAGAGCUCAUCGAAACGAGAAUUUUGACACCAAUUUCGAAGAAAACGGUCUAAAAUUGGACCGAACGGGCCAAACCGGACCGUCGGUCCAACCGGACCAACUCAUUAAAAUGAAGCUGAACCCCUUUCUCUCCCUCAUUUGGAUGCAGCAGCGUGAAACACUUCCAGGGAGGGGAGAAAGCUUCCGUAACUUUACGGUAAAUUUCCGAUCCCCGAAACUUCUCCGUCCGAGCUCCAAUCGCCGCACCGUUUGCGGCCACGCGUCCACCGCGUCGAGCUCUACAUUUCUACCGAAACAAUUUUACUGGUAACUUGUUUAAUCACUCUCAGCCCUCUUUUUCCCCAAUUUUCGAAUUUUAAGUGGGAAUGUUGAAUUUCUUUGAUUUCUGAUAUUUUAGGAUCCAAUUAGCUUGAGAGAAACGUUCACUCUUGCUUAUGUGAAGCUUGGGUAAGGUGAGGAUACGAUAAUUCUAUUUUAUUUUCAUUGAAUUUGAGCUUUGAGUAUUAAAUUGGAUAUAUAUGUGUUAUGAAUGUGUAUUAGGUUGUGAAUAAAUAAUUGGAGCUGGGAAUUGUGAAUACUGGAACUUGGAGGAAGCGGAUUAGUUGAGUUUUGAGGGGCUACCUUGGUUUUGAAUAAAUAGCUUUGGUCGUUACGUGGAAAUCGGCCAAGGUAUGGUUUAGGUUUCUUGCAUUUAAUAUAUAAUGUUCUGUGAAAACUUAGGCUAGAUGACCAUUGGAUAAGUUGGAAUGCAGGUGUAUGUUUAAUGUUUAGUAAUUUGUCGAUAAAUAUAUUUGGUUGAAGUUUAUUGGAUAAUUAGUUUUUAAUUUUGGAUGGUGAAUGUUGUUAUGUUAAUUUGGAGAGAAUUAUGGUUGAAUGUUAUUGUUGAUGAACAUAGUUAGUUUGGUGCUUGUUGAUUAACUAAUGAUUUGGUGAAUUAUUGAUUUGAGGUUUAAUUAUUGUGGAGGUUGUGAUAAUGAGGUAUUUUGUGUUAAAAGCCUAGGAUUUGUGAACUAUGAUUCUUAGUUGGAUUUUGGUUGUUGGACUUGAAUAUUGCAUGAGUUUAAUUGUUGAUCUGAGGUAGAUUUAUUGUGGUGAUUGUUAUGAUGAUGAGAAAGGGUAUGUUGAAUUGAAAAGAAUGCAGGUUUGGACCCGAAAAGGGUGGCAAAGUCCGAGUUUUAGAAGAGGUGCUGCCGAAAUUUUAUAAAAAAUUAGAGAUUUUAUUUAGAUAAUUAUUUAAAAGAGAUUUAGAUUUAAAGGUUAUAUGGUUUGAUUUUGAGUCAUUAAGAAAAUGAGUGUGUUUUAAGUUUGAAGUUUGAUUCGUAGAAAAGAAUGAAUUAUAUUUUGAAUUGGAACUAUUGAUGGAU
RNAcentral lists this long non-coding RNA (2251 nucleotides) under Arachis ipaensis. Its description in RNAcentral is "long non-coding RNA (AIPA_LNC002156)". Lineage: Eukaryota; Viridiplantae; Streptophyta; Magnoliopsida; Fabales; Fabaceae. The record is from RNAcentral.